GGCGGCGCGAGGCAGAGCCAGAGCCCGGGGUCGGUCAAUCAGGUGCGGGCGGCUGGAGCAUGGCUUUGUGAGGCCUCUGAGGGGACCCGGCGGUGGCGGCCACGGCGGGACGGGCCGCCCACCAGUUGAACUCCGACAGCUGAGGCGGCUGAGGAGAUUAGACUCCAGAGAUAAUGAUAUUAGGAAAUCCAAACUGAAAUGGACCCCAGAGCAAUUGAAGAAAGAAAGAGUCAAGACAAAAAAAAGUUGCUGAUUCCAGUCUAGAGGAAACAGUAAGGAAGAGAAAAGAGAAAUUCUCAUUAUAGCCAUGGCAAAGGAAGGGACAUUUUUAUGGACUACAUCUCUGCCUGGAUGGCUGUCUC
This 362-nucleotide long non-coding RNA is filed under the name Homo sapiens (human). RNAcentral's name for it is "non-protein coding lnc-KLHL34-2:2". The record is from RNAcentral. Lineage: Eukaryota; Metazoa; Chordata; Mammalia; Primates; Hominidae.